AGUGAACGCUGGCGGUAGGCCUAACACAUGCAAGUCGAACGGCAGCACAGUAAGAGCUUGCUCUUACGGGUGGCGAGUGGCGGACGGGUGAGGAAUACAUCGGAAUCUACUUUUUCGUGGGGGAUAACGUAGGGAAACUUACGCUAAUACCGCAUACGACCUACGGGUGAAAGCAGGGGAUCUUCGGACCUUGCGCGGUUGAAUGAGCCGAUGUCGGAUUAGCUAGUUGGCGGGGUAAAGGCCCACCAAGGCGACGAUCCGUAGCUGGUCUGAGAGGAUGAUCAGCCACACUGGAACUGGGACACGGUCCUGACUCCUACGGGAGGCAGCAGUGGGGAAUAUUGGACAAUGGGCGCAAGCCUGAUCCAGCCAUACCGCGUGGGUGAAGAAGGCCUUCGGGUUGUAAAGCCCUUUUGUUGGGAAAGAAAAGCAGCAGGUUAAUACCCCGCUGUUCUGACGGUACCCAAAGAAUAAGCACCGGCUAACUUCGUG
RNAcentral lists this ribosomal RNA (492 nucleotides) under uncultured bacterium. RNAcentral describes it as "partial 16S ribosomal RNA". It matches the Rfam family "Bacterial small subunit ribosomal RNA", at positions 29 to 507 of the family's 1533-position model. The record is from RNAcentral.